This 208-nucleotide ribosomal RNA is filed under the name uncultured bacterium. RNAcentral describes it as "partial 16S ribosomal RNA". It matches the Rfam family "Bacterial small subunit ribosomal RNA", at positions 524 to 729 of the family's 1533-position model. The record is from RNAcentral.
UACGAAGGGUGCAAGCGUUACUCGGAAUCACUGGGCGUAAAGCGUGCGUAGGCGGUUCGUUAAGUCUGCUGUGAAAGCCCUGGGCUCAACCUCGGGGAACUGCAGUGGAUACUGGCGGACUAGAGUGUGAUAGAGGAUGGUGGAAUUCCCGGUGUAGCGGUGAAAUGCGUAGAGAUCGGGAGGAACACCAGUGGCGAAGGCGGCCAUC